Molecule: ribosomal RNA, 1477 nt
Filed under: uncultured bacterium
Lineage: Bacteria
Description: bacterial SSU rRNA
Rfam family: Bacterial small subunit ribosomal RNA
Source: RNAcentral
GAGUUUGAUCCUGGCUCAGAGUGAACCCUGGCGGCGUGCUUAACACAUGCAAGUCGAACGGUAACAGAGGAGCUUGCUCCUGCUGACGAGUGGCGCACGGGUGAGUAAUGUAUAGCUAACCUGCCCCGAAGUGGGGGACAACAGUUGGAAACGACUGCUAAUACCCCAUAUCCCUCUAAAACAUAAGUUUGUGAGGAAAAGUUUUUCGCUUCGGGAUGGGGCUGUAUCCUAUCAGCUUGUUGGUGAGGUAACGGCUCACCAAGGCUAUGACGGGUAGCUGGUCUAAGAGGAUGAUCAGCCACACUGGAACUGAGACACGGUCCAGACUCCUACGGUAGGCAGCAGUGGGGAAUAUUGCACAAUGGGCGAAAGCCUGAUGCAGCAACGCCGCGUGGAGGAUGACGCAUUUCGGUGUGUAAACUCCUUUUAUCAGGGAAGAAAAAAAUGACGGUACCUGAUGAAUAAGCACCGGCUAACUCCGUGCCAGCAGCCGCGGUAAUACGGAGGGUGCAAGCGUUACUCGGAAUUACUGGGCGUAAAGGACGCGUAGGCUGGUUUGCAAGUCAGGGGUGAAAGCCUACAGCUUAACUGUAGAACUGCUCUUGAAACUGCUUACCUAUAGUAUGGGAGAGGUAGAUGGAAUUAGUGGUGUAGGGGUAAAAUCCGUAGAGAUCACUAGGAAUACCGAUUGCGAAGGCGAUCUACUGGAACAUUACUGACGCUGAGGCGUGAAAGCGUGGGGAGCAAACAGGAUUAGAUACCCUGGUAGUCCACGCCCUAAACGAUGUACACUAGUUGUUGCUAUGCUAGUCAUAGCAGUAAUGCAGUUAACACAUUAAGUGUACCGCCUGGGGAGUACGGUCGCAAGAUUAAAACUCAAAGGAAUAGACGGGGACCCGCACAAGCGGUGGAGCAUGUGGUUUAAUUCGAAGAUACGCGAAGAACCUUACCUAGGCUUGACAUCCUUGGAAUCUUUUAGAAAUAAGAGAGUACUAGUUUACUAGAACCAAGUGACAGGUGCUGCACGGCUGUCGUCAGCUCGUGUCGUGAGAUGUUGGGUUAAGUCCCGCAACGAGCGCAACCCUCGUCCUUAGUUACUAACAGUUCGGCUGAGGACUCUAAGGAGACUGCCCGGGCAACCGGGAGGAAGGUGAGGACGACGUCAAGUCAUCAUGGCCCUUAUGCCUAGGGCGACACACGUGCUACAAUGGAAGGGACAAAAAGACGCAAUACCGCGAGGUGGAGCAAAUCUUUAAACCCUUUCUCAGUUCGGAUUGGAGUCUGCAACCCGACUCCAUGAAGCUGGAAUCGCUAGUAAUCGUGAAUCAGCCAUGUCACGGUGAAUACGUUCCCGGGUCUUGUACUCACCGCCCGUCACACCAUGGGAGUUGAUUUCACCCGAAGCGGGGAAGCUAAACUAGCUACCCUCCACGGUGGGAUUAGCAACUGGGGUGAAGUCGUAAAGGGGGUAACCAAG